RNAcentral lists this microRNA precursor (176 nucleotides) under Oryza rufipogon (brownbeard rice). RNAcentral describes it as "MIR812 microRNA precursor family". It matches the Rfam family "MIR812 microRNA precursor family", at positions 27 to 197 of the family's 205-position model. Lineage: Eukaryota; Viridiplantae; Streptophyta; Magnoliopsida; Poales; Poaceae. The record is from Rfam by way of RNAcentral.
UGCAGUUUUGUAUUAUUCACAUUCUUAUUUGAAAAUAUUUUAUGAUUAUUAUUUUUAUUGCUAUUAGAUGAUAAAACAUAAAUAGUACUUUAUGUGUGACUAAAUAUUUUUAAAUUUUUCAUAAUUUUUUUAAAUAAGAUGGACGGUUAAAUAUUAGACACGGAUAACUACGGUUG